CCGCUUGCGCCCCCGCCCCGCCCCGCCUAUAUCUGGCGCGUUCGGGUUCGCCCGGACUAUGGCGAUAAACGCACCUGUAAUAAACGGAUCGGACCCGGGGGCGGUACCCGGCGGCUCCACCAUUCACCGCUCGUUGGGCGUGGCGGGGGCCGAAACAGGAUCGACGGACGUCUAAAGAGGCCAGCUUUCGCUCGGUGAGGUACCACCGUUAUCGGUCCAAAAGUACAGUUGCCAACGACAACCGUGCUCCGGUCGCUCUGGCUGCGUAAGCAGCUCGGGUAACCGAAACUUAAGUCCUUACGCUUAGCCGCCUAAGGCGGGGCCCGCCGGAGCCUGGCAACAGAAUCCGGCACC
Rhodobacterales bacterium 65-51 is the source of this 354-nucleotide non-coding RNA. Lineage: Bacteria; Pseudomonadati; Pseudomonadota; Alphaproteobacteria; Rhodobacterales. The record is from Rfam.